RNAcentral lists this ribosomal RNA (465 nucleotides) under uncultured bacterium. RNAcentral describes it as "partial 16S ribosomal RNA". It matches the Rfam family "Bacterial small subunit ribosomal RNA", at positions 28 to 507 of the family's 1533-position model. The record is from RNAcentral.
GACGAACGCUGGCGGCGUGCUUAACACAUGCAAGUCGAACGGAAAGGCCCCUUUGGGGGUACUCGAGUGGCGAACGGGUGAGUAACACGUGAGUAACCUGCCCUUGACUUCGGGAUAACUUCAGGAAACUGGGGCUAAUACCGGAUAGGAAUCCUUGCUGCAUGGUGGGGGUUGGAAAGCUUCGGCGGUUUUGGAUGGACUCGCGGCUUAUCAGCUUGUUGGUGGGGUAGUGGCUUACCAAGGCUUUGACGGGUAGCCGGCCUGAGAGGGCGACCGGCCACAUUGGGACUGAGAGACGGCCCAGACUCCUACGGGAGGCAGCAGUGGGGAAGAUUGCACAAUGGGCGGAAGCCUGAUGCAGCAACGACGCGGGCGGGAUGACGGAAUUCGGGUUGUAAACCGCGUUCAGCAGGGGCGAAGCUUGUGGUGACGGUACCUGCAGAAGAAGCACCGGCUAACUACGUG